UGUACAGUGUUACUAAGGUUGAGAUCGGACGUCAGCGUUAUCAUUAUCAUUAUCGAACUGCUUAGCCGUAAGGAAAGGCUACAAACUGCCACUUGCUGCUUCGAACGAUUAGGCAGAUUAAUGUGUCCGGCGACUCGUUUGGAUACGUACUUGCCAUUCCUUUCUGCGUCGCAAAGUUGUUCUCGGAAUCGGUCACCUUGUCGUCUUUUUAUACAUCUUUUUGUAAGUGCAAGUUGUGCAAUCGACAACAUUGGCGGAGGUGCACGUGAAGUGAUCAGUAAUUUUGAUCAAAAUAAUACAAGUUUAUAACCUCUUUUCUUGAUGGAUCACUUGGUUCCCAAUAUUUUCUCGAUGUUAUGAAUGAAAGAAUAAAAUUUGCAUCAUGUGCGAGCGCACACGAAAGUUCCGGGUUGAUUAUUAGUCCUUCAUCAGUUUUCUUGGCUUUUGUCACGUGUGGAUGAAAUUAGUGGACUUAAGGAGUGAUUGAUUAACUGCGUGAUUGUGAGGGUGUAUUGUGAGAGUGAAUGAAAUGCGAUGCAAACUGUGCUAAUUCAUUCAGAUGGGGAGUUAAACAUAUAAAUCCCUCAAGGAUAUUUAUUUUGAUAAUGUUUAGAAAAUUAUUGUACGAAUAAAGCACUUAUUAAUUACAUCAUAAUGGUGUAGUUUAUUGGAGCAGGGAGGUAUGCCCUACACACGACCUUACCUUUAUCCUCUCUUUUUUUUCUUUUUUUUUUUCUUGCAGAUUCCUCUGGAUCAAGCAAUAGAACGUACAGCGAAGAAAUUUUCUGAAAGUGAAACGAAAAUGCUGCUGAUUAUUUCUAUUUUUGUUUUGGAAUUACUAGAUGUAACUGUGUCUGCCCAAAAAGCCAAAAGUUUGCCAAAUGUUUUCUGUCAACCGCAUGAGACAAUUAUCCCUGUUGAUCCAACCAACUAUGGCUAUUAUCCGUUCUAUGUGAACCUUCACCGGUGUUCUGGCUCGGCGAACUCAGCUUCUCCUAAAGUGCAACAUUGCGUGGCUCAAAGAUACGAGGAAAUAAACGUUGAAGUCCAUUCACGUGCAGCAAACUUUCGGACGAUCUUCACCAUGCAAAAUCACACCAGCUGCACUCAUAAAUGUGUGGCCAGUCCACUUGACUGUGAUCUUGCAGUACAAGACUGGGACGAAAAUGAAUGCGCAUGCAAGUGCAGGUAUCUUGAGGGACCACCCAAGGAACUCGCCUGUAAAAAAGGAUUUAGUUGGAAUCAGUUCCAGUGCAAGUGUGUUUGUGCAAGACCAGUAGAAUUUUGUCCUGUCAACAUGGAAUGGAGUAACACAGCGUGUGGUUGCGUUUGCAAUCAGACUGUUCUGGAACUUUGCGAAUGGGGGAAAAAAUCCCUUAACGCCUCAACUUGCGAGUGCGAAGGACCUAAAACAAUUGUGACAAAUACAGUUCUUGGUAAAAGAAAUGUGGAGAUAACGAAUUGGAAGCACUUAGUGUUGUAUAUGGUUGGAGAGUUUGUCGUUUUAUUUCUCUUGUUUGACUUGAUCCUGUACUAUAAUCACGGGAGUGGUAUAAUCUGCAAAGCCUGUCGCUGUCUUCGUAGAGCUACUUCAAAUAAUGGUCAAGAAGUCGCGUAUACUGAAACGUCAAAUGGAUUUAAUGCAAGUGGGAACCAGAGUCCCACGAUUGAAAUAAAACAGAGUUGAAGAACGUGUCAGUCUCGACAUGCCUCUUUCGAUAACGUUUGUCACCGAUGGCUUACGAAAGGCAAAAGAGAUCAUAAGCACUUACUGCAUGGCAGCAUCAACGCUGACACGGGUGACAAAGGAACAUGUUAAUAUGCCAAGCAGUGGCUCCAAAUAAGCUAAAUAAAUGGAAAGUCUAUACGUGUGGUAUUUUACGCACGAGUUGGCAAAUUGAGUGCGCAUGCUUGUAACUUGCGAUAAAUGUAAAGGAAUAGGAACGACAAUACAGUCGAACUUGUAUUACGUGUCAUCCUGUAUUUUAAGCGGUCGAUUAUUGUCAUCGCCUCCUUUGUAGGAGACCCCAGAGAAAUAGUUUUUUUUUCUCGGCGGAAAAACCCAUGUCAGCUUAUGAUUGCAGAAGAUGAAUCGUAACCCUGAACGUUCAAAUGGCUCGAAUAACGAAGCAUGCGCACUCAUUUUGAAGCUGUGUCAGUACAUAGUUAGUAGUAUCGGAAGUCGAACGAGUGAGAUUUCUGAAACAAACCAACGAAUACGUAAAUACCAUACGAACAGACCUUCCAUGUUGUAUUAUGUUUAUUUUAUACAUGCAGAGAUGCAAUGCUUGUCGUUAACACAGGCGGCCCAUACGUACUGUGUGUGAUUUUGGGGUGUAUAGGUCAUUAACGGGAAUUCAUAUACCUAACAUGUCGGAAACAGGAUAAUUAGUAUUGUAACGAUUCAAAAUUAUCUGCCGGAAAUCGAGUGUCACGAUCUGUCCAACAAAAAGAUUGAAUUUUAAAGCGUAAACGUGUGUCGUUAAAAAAAUCGUAAAAGAAAUUAAAAAAAACGCCUUAAAUCUCGUUACCUCGAACCCGUAGCCCCCUUGUCUCUUACGGUCGUUUUAACGUUAUUUUGGCGACUUUCUUUGCGCUGCGAGUUGUGUUACUAUAUAUAAAUAUAUUUUUUUGCAAUAGCUCAACAUGUGGGUUAGAUGUAGCCUAUAACGGCGCAACAAAGCAACUGGUUAGAUAGAGUGAUGCCCAGAAGGUGGAACAAGAGGACGAGGGUUGUGAAUAUCGCAUUUGAUGGUGACACCCAGGAAUAGUGAUACACGGAAACGGCAAACAUACCUGUGUGAGAUUAAGAUCAAGAAGAUCACGAAAUCCGAGACUCCACUUCAACCAUUUCUAAUUUCUCAGCCCUAUCAUCGCUGCUCUAUAAACUAAUCAAGUCUUGUUAUCAUGGGACGGGAGACCCACAUGUGGACGGAUAAAGUGUUUUUAUUAUGUAACCCUUCUCACGCAGCGCCAUCUUGGAUUCCUUGCCACACCAAAUCGAGGCUGGACGGGAAUAAAUUUAGGGGUGUGUUACACUAGUGUUGCAGUAGACAAGUAAGUAUGGCCCACGAUCAAUGCUCUGUUAACUUCUGUACGAACGACAAGAGAAAUCAGAGUGGCAAGAAUUUAUCUUUUUUCAACUUUCCUUCAAAUUCUUUAUUGAGAUCGAAAUGGAUUGCCGCUAUAAAGCGAGAUGAACGGCUAGAUUUUGAGACAUGGUCAGAAUCGCUUGUUAACAUUGGAAGACCUGACCUUCAAGAUGGCGGCAAACAUGGUUGCUACGGGAUACGUGACGUCAGCAGGAAACCUCAAUUGUAAAGGCAAUGUUGGCUUGAAAAAUUCGAUUCUCUUGCAAGGGAUAUUUAUGGCAGAAGCCAUUCUCAAGAUCAAGAAAGGUUCUACUCUUGUGUGCUCGGCUCACUUCAAGCCAGACGAUAUGUAUAAGACUAUAACUCGGCUUACAUGCCUAAGACAUGGAGUUGUGCCAUCGCAGUUUGCAUGGACCAAGGAGGGUAAGGAGCACUGACCAAACAAAUUGCAAGAGUUAAAAAUUAUUGCUGAACAGCAAGCACAGGAGGAGCAACGUCAAUUCUUUUUCGAUUUAAUCCAGCAAGAUGUCGAGAUGGAAGAAGAGGAGACUGAGUCAGCAGGACAGGAAACCAACGCUGGUGCUAAGCCAAUGCAAGUAAUGGCUAUGGACGAACUGGAAAACAAAAACAGUCAGCCUGACGAACUGAGCCCUUAAGAACAAAUUGAAAUACUUAAAGCCAGAAUCAAAGAUCUAGAGCAACAAGUCAAAGAUCUUCAAGAAUCCAAGUUUGAAGGGGAAAACACUUCGAAGGAUCCUGAAUUGCUGACAUUUUACACAGGCUUUACAUCGAAAGAACGAUUUGAUAGCUUUUACAAAUGGAUUGAGCUGUAUGCAAAAACCAUGAUAAAAUGGUCCCAAAUUCAACGAGGCAAAGGCAAAGAAAGCUACCAGCAAAGGUGUAGCAGUGGUAAAUUUGCACUGUCACUCUAUGACCAACUGUUUUUAUUUUUUAUCAGAAUGAGAUUAGGUUUGCUCGAGACAGACCUAGGAGUGAGAUUCAAUAUUAGCAAAAGUACUUUCAGUAGAGUGAUUAUAACUUGGGCAAAUUUUCUGUACACAAUGUGCCAAGUGCCAAGUGCCAAUUUAGCCCACAAAUGCUCAGAUCGAAAGUAGUAUGCCUCAAUGCUUUAAAACUAUAUACCCUAAAACAAGGGUAAUCCUAGACUGCACUGAAAUUAAAGUCCAAAGGCCUA
Stylophora pistillata is the source of this 4287-nucleotide unclassified non-coding RNA. The record is from RefSeq and is a predicted model, not a curated record. Lineage: Eukaryota; Metazoa; Cnidaria; Anthozoa; Scleractinia; Pocilloporidae.